RNAcentral lists this small RNA (187 nucleotides) under Cellulomonas sp. RNAcentral's name for it is "c-di-AMP sequence". It matches the Rfam family "c-di-AMP riboswitch aptamer (ydaO/yuaA leader)". From Rfam's summary of the family: This family represents a conserved RNA structure found upstream of the ydaO and yuaA genes in Bacillus subtilis and related genes in other bacteria. The ydaO/yuaA element is thought to act as a genetic "off" switch for the ydaO and yuaA genes in its native state. It is believed that the element may be triggered during osmotic shock leading to activation of ydaO, a predicted amino acid transporter gene, and members of the yuaA-yubG operon which code for KtrA and KtrB K+ transporters. Lineage: Bacteria; Bacillati; Actinomycetota; Actinomycetes; Micrococcales; Cellulomonadaceae. The record is from RNAcentral.
UCGGGCGGAUUGCCGAAUCCUGCCACCGCACGGGGUCCGCACGACUCGCCGGCAGGAGCGGGGGACCCAAUCGUGGGCGCCGGAGACGACGUCCUUGGGGUGAAGUCGGACGGUCCUCGGACCGGACGGCCGGGUGAUCUCCCACCCGAACCCGACAGCUGACCUCGUAGGCGCACGGAGAGGCACG